UACAGAGGGUGCAAGCGUUAAUCGGAAUUACUGGGCGUAAAGCGCGCGUAGGUGGUUUGGUAAGUCCGGUGUGAAAUCUCCGAGCUCAACUCGGAAAAUGCACUGGAUACUACCAGACUUGAGGGUCGGAGGGGAGACUGGAAUUCUCGGUGUAGCAGUGAAAUGCGUAGAGAUGUGGAAGAAUACCGAUGGCGAAGGCAGCCUCCUGGGAUAACACUGACGUUGAGGCUCGAAAGCGUGGGGAGCAAACAGGAUUAGAUACCCGAGUAGU
This 271-nucleotide ribosomal RNA is filed under the name uncultured bacterium. RNAcentral describes it as "partial 16S ribosomal RNA". It matches the Rfam family "Bacterial small subunit ribosomal RNA", at positions 524 to 794 of the family's 1533-position model. The record is from RNAcentral.